RNAcentral lists this ribosomal RNA (274 nucleotides) under uncultured bacterium. Its description in RNAcentral is "partial 16S ribosomal RNA". It matches the Rfam family "Bacterial small subunit ribosomal RNA", at positions 523 to 796 of the family's 1533-position model. The record is from RNAcentral.
AUACGGAGGGGACAAGCGUUAUUCGGAAUCACUGGGCGUAAAGGACGCGUAGGCGGGUUAUUAAGUCGGGUGUGAAAUCCAAUGGCUCAACCAUUGAACUGCAUUCGAAACUGAUAACCUAGAGUAUGGAAGGGGCAGGUGGAAUUAGUGGUGUAGGGGUAAAAUCCGUAGAUAUCACUAGGAAUACCGAAAGCGAAGGCGACCUGCUGGGACAUUACUGACGCUGAGGCGUGAAAGCGUGGGGAGCAAACAGGAUUAGAAACCCGAGUAGUCC